ACAAUUCUGUAGUUCAAAUCUAUGUAGACAUAGUAAUUUCUCUUCCUGAAGAGAAAGAGAUGACAUCCAUCUGAUUAUGACCUUGAAAGGAAGACAUGUACAUCUGUGAAACUGAAUUACCUGCAUUUCUCUACAUGACCCCCUACAACUCUGUGUUUUUGUCAUUUUUUUUUUAAUAGUCCAGAAAGUCCAGUUUGUGCUGCUCCUGUGCUCAUGGGUAUGGCCAUCUCUUCCAGUGGCAGUGGACCUACGGGAACCAAAGGCUUCAGGAAAACCAACAAGGUUUACUAUUUUAAAAGAGUAAAAUCAAAUUAUUUACUUCUACUUCAUUACUGUAUGUAACAACUCAUGAUUAUGUAAAAUCUGAAGCAAGAUCAUUAUCAUUUGCAGCACAUCAAACAGUGAAUCAUUUAAAAACUCAAUUCUGUAACAAGGAACCAUGAGGUCAUCCCUUAGGUGUUUGUUUCACUUCAAUUCUACUACUUCAAUCUGUCUAGCAGAUCAACUAAGGCAACAUCAACUCAAAGGACAGUUUAAAGCCCUAAUAAAUGCAACAUGCAUGAGAA
Molecule: long non-coding RNA, 566 nt
Organism: Mastomys coucha (southern multimammate mouse)
Lineage: Eukaryota; Metazoa; Chordata; Mammalia; Rodentia; Muridae
Exons: 2
Source: RefSeq, a predicted model, not a curated record